RNAcentral lists this ribosomal RNA (472 nucleotides) under uncultured bacterium. Its description in RNAcentral is "bacterial SSU rRNA". It matches the Rfam family "Bacterial small subunit ribosomal RNA", at positions 355 to 825 of the family's 1533-position model. The record is from RNAcentral.
UGGGGAAUUUUGGACAAUGGGCGAAAGCCUGAUCCAGCAAUGCCGCGUGAGUGAAGAAGGCCUUCGGGUUGUAAAGCUCUUUUGUCAGGGAAGAAACGGUGAGAGCUAAUAUCUUUUGCUAAUGACGGUACCUGAAGAAUAAGCACCGGCUAACUACGUGCCAGCAGCCGCGGUAAUACGUAGGGUGCAAGCGUUAAUCGGAAUUACUGGGCGUAAAGCGUGCGCAGGCGGUUUUGUAAGUCUGAUGUGAAAUCCCCGGGCUCAACCUGGGAAUUGCAUUGGAGACUGCAAGGCUAGAAUCUGGCAGAGGGGGGUAGAAUUCCACGUGUAGCAGUGAAAUGCGUAGAUAUGUGGAGGAACACCGAUGGCGAAGGCAGCCCCCUGGGUCAAGAUUGACGCUCAUGCACGAAAGCGUGGGGAGCAAACAGGAUUAGAUACCCUGGUAGUCCCUGAGCGGGCUGGCAAGGCGCAU